Molecule: ribosomal RNA, 253 nt
Filed under: uncultured bacterium
Lineage: Bacteria
Description: partial 16S ribosomal RNA
Rfam family: Bacterial small subunit ribosomal RNA
Source: RNAcentral
UACGGAGGGUGCGAGCGUUGUCCGGAAUCACUGGGCGUAAAGGGCGCGUAGGCGGCUUGGGAAGUCCGUGGUGAAAGCCCGAGGCUCAACUUCGGGUCGGCCAUGGAUACUCCUAAGCUCGAGUCGACUAGAGGCUAAUGGAAUUCCGGGUGUAGCGGUGGAAUGCGUAGAGAUCCGGAAGAACACCGGUGGCGAAGGCGGUUAGCUGGGGUCUGACUGACGCUGAGGCGCGACAGCGUGGGGAGCAAACAGG